Molecule: ribosomal RNA, 275 nt
Filed under: uncultured bacterium
Lineage: Bacteria
Description: partial 16S ribosomal RNA
Rfam family: Bacterial small subunit ribosomal RNA
Source: RNAcentral
GAUGAACGCUAGCGGCAGGCCUAAUACAUGCAAGUCGAGGGGCAGCAGGGAUAGCAAUAUUCGCUGGCGACCGGCGCACGGGUGCGUAACACGUAUACAAUCUGCCUUUAACAGGGGGAUAGCCCGGAGAAAUCCGGAUUAAUACCCCAUAAUACUCGAGAUGGCAUCAUUUUGAGUUGAAAGCUCCGGCGGUUAGAGAUGAGUAUGCGACUGAUAGCUAGUUGGUGAGGUAACGGCUCACCAAGGCGACGAUCAGUAGGGGAUCUGAGAGGAUU